RNAcentral lists this transfer RNA (65 nucleotides) under Histeridae sp. BMNH 1274739. RNAcentral's name for it is "tRNA-Ser". Lineage: Eukaryota; Metazoa; Arthropoda; Insecta; Coleoptera; Histeridae. The record is from RNAcentral.
AGUUAAUGAGCUUGUAUAAGCGUGUAACUUGAAAUUACAAGAAAGAUAAAUAAUUCUAUUAACUU